This 467-nucleotide ribosomal RNA is filed under the name uncultured bacterium. RNAcentral's name for it is "bacterial SSU rRNA". It matches the Rfam family "Bacterial small subunit ribosomal RNA", at positions 355 to 825 of the family's 1533-position model. The record is from RNAcentral.
UAAGGAAUAUUGGUCAAUGGAGGCAGCUCUGAACCAGCCAUGCCGCGUGCAGGAAGAAGGCCCUAUGGGUCGUAAACUGCUUUUGAACAAGAGAAAACCCCGGUACGUGUACUGGGUUGAUAGUAUUGUUAGAAUAAGCAUCGGCUAACUUCGUGCCAGCAGCCGUGGUAAGACGAAGGAUGCAAGCGUUAUCCGGAUUCAUUGGGUUUAAAGGGUGCGUAGGCGGACUGAUAAGUCAGUGGUGAAAUCUCUCGGCUUAACCGAGAAACUGCCAUUGAUACUGUUAGUCUAGAGUACAGAUGAUGUGGGCGGAAUAUGACAUGUAGUGGUGAAAUACUUAGAUAUGUCAUAGAACACCGAUUGCGAAGGCAGCUCACAAAACUGUAACUGACGCUGAGGCACGAAAGUGCGGGGAUCAAACAGGAUUAGAUACCCGUGUAGUCCCUGAGCGGGCUGGCAAGGCGCAU